Molecule: ribosomal RNA, 225 nt
Filed under: uncultured bacterium
Lineage: Bacteria
Description: partial 16S ribosomal RNA
Rfam family: Bacterial small subunit ribosomal RNA
Source: RNAcentral
UACGAAGGGGGCUAGCGUUGCUCGGAAUCACUGGGCGUAAAGGCGCGUAGGCGGCCAUUCAAGUCGGGGGUGAAAGCCCAGGGCUCAACCCUGGAAUUGCCUUCGAUACUGUUGGCUAGAGACCGGAAGAGGUUAGUGGAACUGCGAGUGUAGAGGUGAAAUUCGUAGAUAUUCGCAAGAACACCAGUGGCGAAGGCGGCUAACUGGUCCGGUUCGUGACGCUGA